Long non-coding RNA from Drosophila pseudoobscura, 343 nucleotides. RefSeq lists it as uncharacterized. The transcript is spliced from 2 exons. Lineage: Eukaryota; Metazoa; Arthropoda; Insecta; Diptera; Drosophilidae. The record is from RefSeq and is a predicted model, not a curated record.
UUCAGGUUGGUUCUCUUUCGACAGGCACCGCAGUAGCUCGACAUAUUUCUUUUUUCUCUAAAAAAAAAGACACUAAACGUAUUAUACCAUGAACCAAAUGUUAAAAAAAAGUGACGCUUCUUUUUCACUGAUUUGUUGAGAUAUCGAUAGAAUUAAGGAAUCGAAUGGAUUAUUUAUUCGAUUAUAUCGAAAGUGUGACCAGACACACAAGACAAGCAAUGGCUUAAUUAUUGAUGUAUUUUGUAUUCGUAUAAAUAUAAAACUAACUUAAUUCUUUCUCCAAAAUGGCUUACAAAUUUACAUAUAUGGCAAAUAUAAUUUUUAUUAUCCGGCAGUAGCUGAA